ACACAUGCAAGUCGAGCGAAGCACUUUACUUUGAAUCUUUCGGGAGGAAGAGCGAAGUGACUUAGCGGCGGACGGGUGAGUAACGCGUGGGUAACCUGCCUCAUACAGGGGGAUAACAGUUAGAAAUGACUGCUAAUACCGCAUAAGCGCACAGGACCGCAUGGUCAAGGGUGAAAAACUGAGGUGGUAUGAGAUGGACCCGCGUCUGAUUAGCUAGUUGGUGAGGUAAGGGCUCACCAAGGCAACGAUCAGUAGCCGACCUGAGAGGGUGACCGGCCACAUUGGGACUGAGACACGGCCCAAACUCCUACGGGAGGCAGCAGUGGGGAAUAUUGCACAAUGGGGGAAACCCUGAUGCAGCGACGCCGCGUGAGCGAAGAAGUAUUUCGGUAUGUAAAGCUCUAUCAGCAGGGAAGAAAAUGACGGUACCUGACUAAGAAGCACCGGCUAAAUACGUGCCAGCAGCCGCGGUAAUACGUAUGGUGCAAGCGUUAUCCGGAUUUACUGGGUGUAAAGGGAGUGUAGACGGAUAAGCAAGUCUGGAGUGAAAGCCCGGGGCUCAACCCCGGGACUGCUUUGGAAUCUGUUAAUCUAGAGUGCUGGAGAGGUAAGUGGAAUUCCUAGUGUAGCGGUGAAAUGCGUAGAUAUUAGGAGGAACACCAGUGGCGAAGGCGGCUUACUGGACAGUGACUGACGUUGAGGCUCGAA
RNAcentral lists this ribosomal RNA (708 nucleotides) under uncultured bacterium. RNAcentral's name for it is "bacterial SSU rRNA". It matches the Rfam family "Bacterial small subunit ribosomal RNA", at positions 51 to 757 of the family's 1533-position model. The record is from RNAcentral.